UACGUAGGCGGAUCAAUCAGUCAGAGGUGAAAUCCUGCAGCUUAACUGUAGAACUGCCUUUGAUACUGUUGAUCUUGAGUCAUUAUGAAGUGGUUAGAAUGUGUAGUGUAGCGGUGAAAUGCAUAGAUAUUACACAGAAUACCGAUUGCGAAGGCAGAUCACUAAUAAUGUACUGACACUGAGGGACGAAAGCGUGGGGAGCGAACAGGAUUAGAUACCCUGGUAGUCC
Molecule: ribosomal RNA, 229 nt
Filed under: uncultured bacterium
Lineage: Bacteria
Description: partial 16S ribosomal RNA
Rfam family: Bacterial small subunit ribosomal RNA
Source: RNAcentral